AAGGGUCUGAGCGAAUGAUCGCCAGUACACAGCUCCUCAGCACAGGGUGCUGCUGCUCCGGCAGGCAAAACUUUGGGCUCUACGGUCGAGAAGAAACCAGGGGUUCUUUCAACAAGUCUCCAGAAGGCAGGUUUGGAGCACCUGUUCUGGGCACUUUCCUAAGAGAGUAGAAGACACAGUCCCCACUUUGAAGAGUUUAAUGUCAAAAAGUGCCUCUCCACAAUUAUACAGUUUGCACUCUUUGUAAAUUUCUACAACUUUGGCUCCAAGUGCAGAUGAGGGUGAAGACCUGCUGCAGACACGCCGCCAAUGGAAGAAGAAUGGAAGACUUACCACAGGCGGGCCUCCAGAGGGGAACAGCAGCCGUGGACCUGCAGAGCUGCUGCCGAAAAAAUGGAGGAGUGUCGUCUGGCGGCACUCUUGGUGCCGCGCAUCCCCCGGGAUCAUCUUGCACACCCCCUGGGGUGCGUGCACCCCAGUUUGUAGACGACUGUCCUAGGUAACCACGGACCCCACAGUCAGUAAUUUGGAUGCUCAGCGUCCUUUCCAGAAAAUUUCUGAUGGCUUCCUAUGGCUGAUUCCCCUAAGAGGAGAGGAAGGAAGCCAGCAAGGAGAAAGAGUGUGCGAGGAGCUUGCAAAAGCUAAAUGGGUGGCUCCCUUAAUUCAUUUCUCCUGCACAGAUGAUUGUUAGAAGGGGGACAACUUCUUUCCUUUGAACCUUGGCUGACAUUAGCUUUGCAUUCACAUUUUGACUCUUACUGCAGGCUGCCUUUGUUUUGCACUAUAAAUGAAGCUAAUUCCUUCCCAGUGCAACCAGCCAAUCAUAACACAUUAAAAGGAAAGGAGUCCAGAUCAUCAGCUGGUGUAAAACAUCAUGGCUUCAUUGACUGAUAAUGGGGCUAUGUUGAUUUACACCUGCUGGAGAUGUGGCCCAAGUUGUAGUUCAUAAUCACUUCUUUUAGAGAAACCAGCCAUAGAGAUACUUUGGUGGCAAGGGAGGUGCAUGUGUGUGUGUCUGGGGGGCUCAUUAGUACAUGGCUCUGUUCAAGAGGGACCCUGUGUCCCCGUCCACUGUGCAUCAUGGCAGGAUUUAUUCCUUUUUUCCAACCCCCCCGAGCCAUUGCAUACUGGAUAAUCCACUUAUACAAAGACCAAACUACUUGUACAUUGAAUUGGAAUUGUGUGGUGUUCACACUCAAAUAGUAAGACUUUGCUCUUCCCAGGGCACUUGUGUGUUGAUCAUGUUUGUUUAUUCACCAUAAGUGAUCACCCUGAGUGGUGUGCAUGUGUUUGGAGAAAAAAGUAAUAUUCAUGAAUAAAUGUAUAAAGUGCAAUCUU
Long non-coding RNA from Dermochelys coriacea (leatherback sea turtle), 1338 nucleotides. RefSeq lists it as uncharacterized. The record is from RefSeq and is a predicted model, not a curated record. NCBI's taxonomy places the organism in Eukaryota, Metazoa, Chordata, Testudines, Dermochelyidae. The transcript is spliced from 3 exons.